RNAcentral lists this transfer RNA (72 nucleotides) under Chthoniobacter flavus. Its description in RNAcentral is "tRNA-Thr". It matches the Rfam family "tRNA". From Rfam's summary of the family: Transfer RNA (tRNA) molecules are approximately 80 nucleotides in length. Their secondary structure includes four short double-helical elements and three loops (D, anti-codon, and T loops). Lineage: Bacteria; Pseudomonadati; Verrucomicrobiota; Spartobacteria; Chthoniobacterales; Chthoniobacteraceae. RNAcentral also lists the same sequence under 1 other name. The record is from RNAcentral.
GCCAGUGUAGCUCAGUGGUAGAGCAGCUGUUUCGUAAACAGCAGGUCGCGGGUUCGAUCCCCGCCACUGGCU